This 431-nucleotide ribosomal RNA is filed under the name uncultured bacterium. Its description in RNAcentral is "partial 16S ribosomal RNA". It matches the Rfam family "Bacterial small subunit ribosomal RNA", at positions 29 to 507 of the family's 1533-position model. The record is from RNAcentral.
AACGAACGCUGGCGGCAGGCUUAACACAUGCAAGUCGAGCGCCCCGCCAGGGGAGCGGCAGCCGGGUGAGUACCGCGUGGGAACGUACCUUUUGGUUCAGAACAACUCCGGGAAACUGGAGCUAAUACCGGAUAAGCCCUAACGGGGAAAGAUUUAUCGCCGAAAGAUCGGCCCGCGUCUGAUUAGCUAGUUGGUGAGGUAACGGCUCACCAAGGCGACGAUCAGUAGCUGGUCUGAGAGGAUGAUCAGCCACACUGGGACUGAGACACGGCCCAGACUCCUACGGGAGGCAGCAGUGGGGAAUAUUGGACAAUGGGCGCAAGCCUGAUCCAGCCAUGCCGCGUGAGUGAUGAAGGCCUUAGGGUUGUAAAGCUCUUUUGUCCGGGAAGAUAAUGACUGUACCGGAAGAAUAAGCCCCGGCUAACUUCGUG